RNAcentral lists this ribosomal RNA (486 nucleotides) under uncultured bacterium. Its description in RNAcentral is "partial 16S ribosomal RNA". It matches the Rfam family "Bacterial small subunit ribosomal RNA", at positions 30 to 507 of the family's 1533-position model. The record is from RNAcentral.
AUUGAACGCUGGCGGCAUGCCUUACACAUGCAAGUCGAACGGCAGCACGGGUGCUUGCACCUGGUGGCGAGUGGCGAACGGGUGAGUAAUACAUCGGAACAUGUCCUGUCGUGGGGGAUAGCCCGGCGAAAGCCGGAUUAAUACCGCAUACGAUCUACGGAUGAAAGCGGGGGACCUUCGGGCCUCGCGCUAUAGGGUUGGCCGAUGGCUGCUUAGCUAGUUGGUGGUGUAAAGGCCUACCAAGGCGACGAUCAGUAGCUGGUCUGAGAGGACGACCAGCAACACUGGGACUGAGACACGGCCCAGACUCCUACGGGAGGCAGCAGUGGGGAAUUUUGGACAAUGGGCGAAAGCCUGAUCCAGCAAUGCCGCGUGUGUGAAGAAGGCCUUCGGGUUGUAAAGCACUUUUGUCCGGAAAGAAAUACUUGGCCCUAAUACGGUCGGGGGAUGACGGUACCGGAAGAAUAAGCACCGGCUAACUACGUG